UAAGUCGACCGCCUGGGGAGUACGGCCGCAAGGUUAAAACUCAAAUGAAUUGACGGGGGCCCGCACAAGCGGUGGAGCAUGUGGUUUAAUUCGAUGCAACGCGAAGAACCUUACCUGGUCUUGACAUCCACGGAAGUUUUCAGAGAUGAGAAUGUGCCUUCGGGAACCGUGAGACAGGUGCUGCAUGGCUGUCGUCAGCUCGUGUUGUGAAAUGUUGGGUUAAGUCCCGCAACGAGCGCAACCCUUAUCCUUUGUUGCCAGCGGUCCGGCCGGGAACUCAAAGGAGACUGCCAGUGAUAAACUGGAGGAAGGUGGGGAUGACGUCAAGUCAUCAUGGCCCUUACGACCAGGGCUACACACGUGCUACAAUGGCGCAUACAAAGAGAAGCGACCUCGCGAGAGCAAGCGGACCUCAUAAAGUGCGUCGUAGUCCGGAUUGGAGUCUGCAACUCGACUCCAUGAAGUCGGAAUCGCUAGUAAUCGUGGAUCAGAAUGCCACGGUGAAUACGUUCCCGGGCCUUGUACACACCGCCCGUCACACCAUGGGAGUGGGUUGCAAAAGAAGUAGGUAGCUUAACCUUCGGGAGGGCGCUUACCACUUUGUGAUUCAUGACUGGGGUGAAGUCGUAACAAGGUAACCGUAGGGGAACCUGCGGUUGGAUCAC
Molecule: ribosomal RNA, 665 nt
Filed under: Escherichia coli
Lineage: Bacteria; Pseudomonadati; Pseudomonadota; Gammaproteobacteria; Enterobacterales; Enterobacteriaceae
Description: bacterial SSU rRNA
Rfam family: Bacterial small subunit ribosomal RNA
Source: RNAcentral